ACGGGAGGCAGCAGUGGGGAAUAUUGGGCAAUGGGCGAAAGCCUGACCCAGCAACGCCGCGUGAAGGAAGAAGGUCUUCGGAUUGUAAACUUCUUUUAUGAGGGACGAAGGGCGUGACGGUACCUCACGAAUAAGCCACGGCUAACUACGUGCCAGCAGCCGCGGUAAUACGUAGGUGGCGAGCGUUAUCCGGAUUUACUGGGUGUAAAGGGCGCGUAGGCGGGAUGACAAGUCGGAUGUGAAAUCUAUGGGCUUAACCCAUAAACUGCAUUUGAAACUGCCAUUCUUGAGUGCUGGAGAGGUAGACGGAAUUCCUUGUGUAGCGGUGAAAUGCGUAGAUAUAAGGAAGAACACCAGUGGCGAAGGCGGUCUACUGGACAGUAACUGACGCUGAGGCGCGAAAGCGUGGGGAGCAAACAGGAUUAGAUACCCUGGUA
RNAcentral lists this ribosomal RNA (437 nucleotides) under uncultured Oscillospiraceae bacterium. Its description in RNAcentral is "partial 16S ribosomal RNA". It matches the Rfam family "Bacterial small subunit ribosomal RNA", at positions 341 to 792 of the family's 1533-position model. Lineage: Bacteria; Bacillati; Bacillota; Clostridia; Eubacteriales; Oscillospiraceae. The record is from RNAcentral.